This is a long non-coding RNA of Saccostrea echinata, 566 nucleotides long. RefSeq lists it as uncharacterized. The transcript is spliced from 3 exons. NCBI's taxonomy places the organism in Eukaryota, Metazoa, Mollusca, Bivalvia, Ostreida, Ostreidae. The record is from RefSeq and is a predicted model, not a curated record.
AUUGGAACUGGCUUAUGUAUUCCAAUUUUGAUUGCAGUUGAUGAAAGAUGUCGUACUUAGGGAAACAUUAGAUGAAAUUACUUUGAAAUACCCCUAGUUUGUCAACUUCUAGCCAAGAUCCUACAGGUUAGUUGAAUUGGAGAACAGAUGUACACACAGUAGAAAGGAUAUUACCUGAAAACAUCAAAUGACGGGGAAAAAAGAAGACUGCCUAUUUCAGAGAUAUAUAUUUUCACAGUAUCAUCACCCAUAGCACUACGAUCAAAAAUUAAAAAUGACAUUAAGGAAGAAAAAAAAAUGAAGACACUGAUCAAAAAGAAAAGAAGUUGGAAGAGUUUCGAAUAUUAUGUCUGAAUAUUCUGUCAACAACACCAUAGAUCUGGAGAGGGAUUUUUUUGCCUAAUAAUUUAUAUUAAUGCAUGUACAUUUAUUUUUUAAUUCUUUUUUAUAUAUAGUGUUGCCUUUUUUUCAUCAAGUGUACAUGUUACUUUUUUAGCUCACCCAAACUUAAAGCUCAAGUGAGCUUUUCUGAUUGAAAAAUGUCUGGUUUCUUUCUGUCCAUCUGA